RNAcentral lists this long non-coding RNA (204 nucleotides) under Mytilus galloprovincialis (Mediterranean mussel). Lineage: Eukaryota; Metazoa; Mollusca; Bivalvia; Mytilida; Mytilidae. The record is from RNAcentral.
AUGUUAUUUUUACAGAAUGAUCCUCAUCGACAAAUGAUAUGAGUGACAAUGAUACUAAUUCUGGGUUAAGUACUUGGGAUACACUGGUCUUAAUCUUUACAUUUUUGGCGUGUGCCGCAGUAUUGAUAUGUUGGUAUAUGUUUAAAUACCUAUGUACACGAAAAAAGAAUCAGAGUCCGAGUGGAAUGGAUAAUACGAGGCAAG